Molecule: ribosomal RNA, 562 nt
Filed under: uncultured bacterium
Lineage: Bacteria
Description: bacterial SSU rRNA
Rfam family: Bacterial small subunit ribosomal RNA
Source: RNAcentral
CCUACGGGAGGCAGCAGUGGGGAAUAUUGGACAAUGGGCGAAAGCCUGAUCCAGCAAUGCCGCGUGAGUGAUGAAGGCCUUAGGGUUGUAAAGCUCUUUUACCAGGGAUGAUAAUGACAGUACCUGGAGAAUAAGCUCCGGCUAACUCCGUGCCAGCAGCCGCGGUAAUACGGAGGGAGCUAGCGUUGUUCGGAAUUACUGGGCGUAAAGCGUGCGUAGGCGGUGAUUCAAGUCAGAGGUGAAAGCCUGGAGCUCAACUCCAGAACGGCCUUUGAAACUAGAUCGCUAGAAUUAUGGAGAGGUAAGUGGAAUUCCGAGUGUAGAGGUGAAAUUCGUAGAUAUUCGGAAGAACACCAGUGGCGAAGGCGACUUACUGGACAUAUAUUGACGCUGAGGUACGAAAGCGUGGGGAGCAAACAGGAUUAGAUACCCUGGUAGUCCACGCCGUAAACGAUGAUAACUAGCUGUUCGGGCUCUCAGAGCUUGAGUGGCGCAGCUAACGCAUUAAGUUAUCCGCCUGGGGAGUACGGUCGCAAGNUUAAAACUCAAAAUGAAUUGACGG